RNAcentral lists this ribosomal RNA (189 nucleotides) under uncultured Staphylococcus sp. RNAcentral's name for it is "partial 16S ribosomal RNA". It matches the Rfam family "Bacterial small subunit ribosomal RNA", at positions 151 to 334 of the family's 1533-position model. Lineage: Bacteria; Bacillati; Bacillota; Bacilli; Caryophanales; Staphylococcaceae. The record is from RNAcentral.
GGGAAACCGGAGCUAAUACCGGAUAAUAUUUUGAACCGCAUGAUUCAAAAGUGAAAGACGGUCUUGCUGUCACUUAUAGAUGGAUCCGCGCUGCAUUAGCUAGUUGGUAAGGUAACGGCUUACCAAGGCAACGAUGCAUAGCCGACCUGAGAGGGUGAUCGGCCACACUGGAACUGAGACACGGUCCAG